UACGAAGGAGGCGAGCGUUGUUCGGAUUUACUGGGCGUAAAGGGCGCGCAGGCGGUUCUGUUUGUCGAGUGUGAAAGCCCCCGGCUCAACCGGGGAACUGCGCUUGAAACUGUUAGGCUCGAGUCAGCUAGAGGUACACGGAACUUCCAGUGGAGCGGUGAAAUGUGUUGAUAUUGGAAGGAACACCGGAGGCGAAAGCGGUGUACUGGGGCUGGUCUGACGCUGAGGCACGAAAGCCAGGGGAGCGAACGGG
Molecule: ribosomal RNA, 253 nt
Filed under: uncultured bacterium
Lineage: Bacteria
Description: partial 16S ribosomal RNA
Rfam family: Bacterial small subunit ribosomal RNA
Source: RNAcentral